Molecule: ribosomal RNA, 376 nt
Filed under: uncultured bacterium
Lineage: Bacteria
Description: bacterial SSU rRNA
Rfam family: Bacterial small subunit ribosomal RNA
Source: RNAcentral
UAAUACGGAGGGUGCAAGCGUUAUCCGGAAUCACUGGGUUUAAAGGGUGCGUAGGCGGUUCGAUAAGUCAGUUGUGAAAUUCCCCGGCUUAACCGGGCGGACUGCGAUUGAUACUGUUGGACUUGAAUCAGGUUGAGGUAGGCGGAAUGUGACAUGUAGCGGUGAAAUGCUUAGAUAUGUCAUAGAACACCGAUUGCGAAGGCAGCUUGCUAGGCCUUUGAUUGACGCUGAGGCACGAAAGCGUGGGGAGCAAACAGGAUUAGAUACCCUGGUAGUCCACGCCCUAAACGAUGUUUACUUGCUGUUCCAGGCUUGCCUUGGAGUGGCGAAGCGAAAGCGAUAAGUAAACCACCUGGGGAGUACGCCGGCAACGGUG